Molecule: ribosomal RNA, 497 nt
Filed under: uncultured bacterium
Lineage: Bacteria
Description: partial 16S ribosomal RNA
Rfam family: Bacterial small subunit ribosomal RNA
Source: RNAcentral
GAUGAACGCUGGCGGCGUGCCUAAUACAUGCAAGUCGAGCGAACAGACGAGGAGCUUGCUCCUCUGACGUUAGCGGCGGACGGGUGAGUAACACGUGGAUAACCUACCUAUAAGACUGGGAUAACUUCGGGAAACCGGAGCUAAUACCGGAUAAUAUAUUGAACCGCAUGGUUCAAAAGUGAAAGACGGUUUUGCUGUCACUUAUAGAUGGAUCCGCGCCGCAUUAGCUAGUUGGUAAGGUAACGGCUUACCAAGGCAACGAUGCGUAGCCGACCUGAGAGGGUGAUCGGCCACACGGGAACUGAGACACGGUCCAGACGCCUACGGGAGGCAGCAGUAGGGAAUCUUCCGCAAUGGGCGAAAGCUUGACGGAGCAACGCCGCGUGAGUGAUGAAGGUCUUCGGAUCGUAAAACUCUGUUAUUAGGGAAGAACAAAUGUGUAAGUAACUAUGCACGUCUUGACGGUACCUAAUCAGAAAGCCACGGCUAACUACGUG